GGGGAUAUACCUCAGUUGGUGGAGUGCUUGUCUCACACAAGGCCUUGGGUUCAAUUCCCAGCACCCCCC
Molecule: transfer RNA, 69 nt
Filed under: Ictidomys tridecemlineatus (thirteen-lined ground squirrel)
Lineage: Eukaryota; Metazoa; Chordata; Mammalia; Rodentia; Sciuridae
Description: Spermophilus tridecemlineatus (thirteen-lined ground squirrel) tRNA
Rfam family: tRNA
About the family: Transfer RNA (tRNA) molecules are approximately 80 nucleotides in length.
Source: Rfam by way of RNAcentral